Molecule: small RNA, 730 nt
Filed under: Rattus norvegicus (Norway rat)
Lineage: Eukaryota; Metazoa; Chordata; Mammalia; Rodentia; Muridae
Description: uncharacterized LOC102550206
Source: RNAcentral
UAUCAGGAGAUCUUCAGGGCAGCCUUUGACCUUGGCAACCAGACAACGGCAAAUGCUGAAAUGACCGAGCCUGUAGUAGGCUUGUGGCAAAACACGAAAUAAGAUCUACCAACCUCCAACCCUCUCCCACCUUCCCAGACAUAAUCAGUGGCACCAAGAAGAGGGACGAAAAUCUUUGAAACCAGGAGCCACGAUAAAAUUUGAUUCAGCAAGAAAAACAACGCAUGUUCCCAGAAAUGUAGCAUAUGCUGAGUUUUUUUUAUAAUGCCAACGUGUGAUUGCUACAGGUUUCCACAGAACACUGGGGAAGUCAACCAAGGCAAAGUGAGUUUCCUCCUUAGACCUCCUGUCUUACUGGAAUUGCUUUGGUAUGGAAAGAGGCAACAGGCAUGCUAUGCGGCCAGGGUAAAAGUAGGAGCGCUCAGGUGUUUCCUCACCAGCCGGGGAUGAUUUGGAGCUUGGAGAGAGUCUGCCUCAGCCUCGGGAAUGCUGAGAUUAUUAACACGUGCCAUAUGCCCAGCCAAGACCUAUUUCUCAGGACUACUGUAGGAAUUGAUUCUAAACAGCAAGGAAAGAGGAAGAUGGUUGGCCUUGAAAAGGAGACCCUUGGAACUGUGUUUCGAUACUCUUAAGAGUGUGUGUUCGUGAGAUGCAAGAAUUCACGCAAAGCAGCCUCCAAACACUGACUGGAUCUCACUAAAAAAAUAAAAUUUCUGCAUCCUCUUUUCUC